Molecule: non-coding RNA, 325 nt
Organism: Pseudopodoces humilis (Tibetan ground-tit)
Lineage: Eukaryota; Metazoa; Chordata; Aves; Passeriformes; Paridae
Source: RefSeq, a predicted model, not a curated record
GUGGGGGGCCAGCGCCGGGGCUACGACAGCCGCGUUUACGGGGGGCAGCAGCAGCCGCAGUACUGGGGGCAGCCCGGGAGCCGCGGGGGCUACCGGAACUUCUACGAGCGCUACCGGGGCUACGACGAUCGGUUCUACGGCCGCGACUACGACUACAACAGAUACCGCGACUACUACCGGCAGUACAACCGCGAGUGGCAGAACUACUACCAGGACAGGGACCGGUACUACAGGAACUACUACGGUUACCAGGGCUACCGGUGAACCCCGGCCCAUCCCAAACAAAAUUCCCGGAAAAGUUUUUGGGGAGAGGUGGGGGAGGGGC